GACGAACGCUGGCGGCGUGCUUAACACAUGCAAGUCGAACGGAAAGGCCCUGCUUUUGUGGGGUGCUCGAGUGGCGAACGGGUGAGUAACACGUGAGUAACCUGCCCUUGACUUUGGGAUAACUUCAGGAAACUGGGGCUAAUACCGGAUAGGAGCUCCUGCUGCAUGGUGGGGGUUGGAAAGUUUCGGCGGUUGGGGAUGGACUCGCGGCUUAUCAGCUUGUUGGUGGGGUAGUGGCUUACCAAGGCUUUGACGGGUAGCCGGCCUGAGAGGGUGACCGGCCACAUUGGGACUGAGAUACGGGCCCAGACUCCUACGGGAGGCAGCAGUGGGGAAUAUUGCACAAUGGGCGGAAGCCUGAUGCAGCAACGCCGCGUGCGGGAUGACGG
Molecule: ribosomal RNA, 389 nt
Filed under: uncultured bacterium
Lineage: Bacteria
Description: bacterial SSU rRNA
Rfam family: Bacterial small subunit ribosomal RNA
Source: RNAcentral